GUGUGGCACAGGAUUGCUGUCCAGUAAAUAGCAAUUGAUGAAUGACUGAGUGGAGCUUUGUUUUGUUUUCAUUUCUCAAACUCUCUUAUGACCGCAGAGGGGAAAACUAAAUCAAAGCCAUAUGCCUGUAAAAAUCCCUCUGACAUCUUUUAUUGUAAUGGAAAAUGACAAUGGUUAUCAGAGCAGAAGGAACAUGCCUGAGUGAAAGUAAAUACCAAACACCUUUUGGGAAACAAAGCACCUCCUGGUGACCUUUGCAGCUGUUCCACUCCCUAAAUUAUGGCAACGUGAAGUUGUCUAAUGACAGUCUAACCAGGAUUUCCUCUUGUUUUCAAAUGUGUGCCUCCUCUCUCUCUGGGUUGUGCAGAAUUUUAAAUGUCACAGUAAUCACAUUUUUCCCGAGGAUAACGUGAAAUAUCAUUGGAGCUUAAUGGAGAUGAACAAAUGAUCAAAUUCAGAUGUUAGUGAUAUAUCAUGUUAGAGGAAUGAGAUCUAUUCCACAAGCUGCAAAGCCUCUAAAUUUUGUUAACACAAAUAAGAAAUAAAGUAGCAAAAGCUACUAUUUCUGAGUCCCUACCAUGCACCCCACCCCGUUCCAAGUACUUUACACCUAUCAUCUCAUUUAAUCCUGACAGUUCUUCAGCAUGGGCAUUACUGUCCCCAUUUAACACAUAAAUUCAGAUAAAUUCGUUGAACUGCUCAAAACCACAUGGCAAGUGGUUAUGUGAAUGUCCCCCAUCCAAGCUAUAUGGCCUUAAUAAAGUUACUUACCUGCUGUAGGCCUCAUCUGCAGAAUGCAAAUAUCGAAGACAUCUCACUCAUAAUAUUGUGAAAGAUUACAUUAAAUAAGUUAUGUGUAGCACUUAAGUGCAGUGCCUGCUAUACUGCAAUCACUUAUUGCAUUAGAAUUCUCCAGAGAACCAAUAGGAGAUACAUAGAUAUUUGUUUUAUACAUAUAGGGAGAUUUAUUGUAAGGAAUUGGUUCACGUGAUUAUAGAGGCUGUGAGUUGCCAUGUUCUGCCAUCUGCAAGCUCCAGUAGACUCCAAAGAACUAGUGGUAUAGUUCCAGUAUGAGCCUGAAGACCUAUGAACCAGGACAGCUUAGGAGAUCCAGUUCAAGUGCAGGAGAAGACCAAUGUUCCAGCUCAAAAACAGAGAGAAGGAAACCUUUCUUAGCCUUUUAUUCUAUCCAGGCCUUCAAUGGAGGAUAAGGCUUAACCUAUACUGGGGAGGAAAAUCUGUUUUACUCAUUCUAUCCAAUCAAAUGUUAAUCUCACCCAGAAAUACCCUCACAGACACACCCAGAAAUGUUUAGUAGGAUAUCUGGGCACUCUGUGCCCCAGUCAAGUUGACAUAUAAAAUCACACUAAAUGGUGCUUUAUUAACAUUAUUAUUGUGAUUGUUAUUAAUGUAGAUCUGGUAUUUUACAUCCGUCUAGCCCUUUCCACACUGCCCAAAACCAAAACCAAUCAUCAGUAUAAUCAUAAUGAAAUCAAAGCUACAUAUAAUUUUUUUCUUCCCUCAGGAAAAUUUUCAACAUCUUGCACAUUUAAUUCAUGGCAAGAGUUACUACCACUGGGACUAUUUUCUCUAAUACUCUUGGGGAAAAGUGGAAAUGCAUGAUAGCAUUUCGGAAAUAAAAGAAUGUCUCAUAUUGAUUCCUAGAGCACUGAAAAAAAAAAAAAAAAA
Long non-coding RNA from Macaca fascicularis (crab-eating macaque), 1689 nucleotides. Lineage: Eukaryota; Metazoa; Chordata; Mammalia; Primates; Cercopithecidae. The record is from Ensembl.